AAAACCACUGGGUACUCGGCGCAUCUGGUCCGAGGUGGGGAGUGCGACCGCAGCAGCUCGAGUUGCGACGUGAGCAGCCGCACGGGCACCCGUGUGCGCACGCGCGAGACUGGGCUCCACGCAGUCUAGCACAUGAUUCCUACAGGGGCCGCCCCGCACGCACGCCACGCACGGUGACCUUCCCUGCCACUCAGCUGUGCUCUAUCUCUAAUUCUGUCACUCUGCAAAUAAUGGGGCCUUUCCACAUCUAAUCUUCUGAGAUAGCGCCUUUCCUCCAGUAUAGCUCCCUUGAAAGCCAUCCAGGAAUGAAGGCAGCCGGACAGCACAAGCAAAGACAUUCUCAAAAGAGCACGUCCAGAACUUCUUCAGAAAUCAAUAAGAAUGCUGGGUACUCAAGAUCGAACUCAGGACCUCGUGUUUGCAAGGCAGUGCUCUUGAGCGCCUCUUGCACCCCGAGACUGACUUCACCAGUCACGUGACUGUGCCGUCUUUUAACCCUGUCGACCUUUUAGAUUCUCUCGAAGAUGCAGACUUUUGGAAACACGUUUGAAGGAGAGCCUCUGCUUUCCCUCUCCCAGGUCCUAGCUCCCCUAACGCUCAGUGAUGCGGACACAGCCUGGGGUGGGCGGGACCCGAUCCAGUCCGAUCUGCUCGGAUCUGCUCCGGACAGCACCGAUCUGCUCUGGACAGCACCGCUGUCCUCCACCAGGGACGCCGCUCCCCGCCCGGAUUUCCUCGGCUUUCCCUGAGCCCCGGGGCAACUGUAACGCUCAACACCCUCAACACCAACGCGUUCGGCCUUGGGCUUUGGAUAGUACCCUGCGCGCUCAUACAGGGCCCGAGCGCCCCCACUCACCCUGUGCCUCUUCUCCAUCUUGUCCUCCCCCGUCUACCGGCACCGGGAACCCCUCGCCUCUGGCUCCUCUUCCGGGCGCAGCUUCCUGCAAAGCGGCAAUCGGCCUGUGAUUCAGUCACUUCGCGUGUGCGUGGAUGUGGGACUGGAGACUGAAGCCUGGGCCUUCGUGUCAGGCCACAGCCCCAAUCAUACUUUUAUUGUUUCAUUUUGAGACAGGGUCACUAAGUUGCCCAGGCUGUGCUUGAACCUGGGAUCCUCUUGCCUCAGCGUCCCCGAGCGCGUACUUGUGGAGGGUGAAAUCCCAUCCGGUUCUAGUGGCUUCUUAGAUUAAGUUGGUUCUGGGGCCCUCAGUAAAACUCUCUCCACUGUUCUCUAGCUCGGGGAAGGACUUCAGUCAGGCUGAGGGUGGGGAGAAAAGGGAAAGACAAGCUGAAUUUGCUUAAAGCAGUGUCCAUGCAGCAUUAUCCCUGCUCUGUCACCAACCAGGACCAGCUGUCUAUCUGCCACCAUAAAAAUCUGUGAUUUAAAAUAAAUUUUGUGGGCCGGGGAUUUAGCUUGGUGGUUUUGCCGCCUGCUGCACAAGCUCAAGCACCCGAGUUCGAACCCCGGUACCAAAAAAAAAAAAAAAUUUUGUUUUGAAGCAAAACAUGUAUUGCUGUAUUUUAGAUAUACAUCAUAACAUUCAUCACAUAAAAUCUGUGAUUUGAUGUGUCCUAUUUUGCCAAAAAAAAAAAAAAGUGGGAAGCAGCAACUCUUCCUGUGCCUUCCACGAACCCCUGACCGGUCCCCGCCCCCCUCCCCAUCCUGAUUCGUGUCCUGAGUCCCUGGGGAGGCUGAGCCAGGAGACGUGGCCUCUGAGUGCCACCUCCCCAGCCCAGCCUCUUUUCUUUGUCAGCUGUGCUUGUCUUUUAAUGUGUUCUCAUUUGAGAAAAACAAAAACAACCGUGGCCUGGGUGGUGCAGGCCUGUAAUCCCAGCGCUCUGGGAGGCUGAGGCAGGAGGAUUCUGAGCUUCAUCCCAGUCUGGGCAAUUGAGCAACUUGGUAAGACCCUCCUAUCUCAGAACAAUAAAAAACGGGCUGGGGAGGUAGGUCAGGGCUAAGGCUCUAGGUUCAAUCCCUAGUACCUAAAAAUAAAAACCAAACCACCAAAGCCCAAUUGCUAAUCUAAUUCUAAUAAAUAUACUUCCUUUAAAA
This is a long non-coding RNA of Heterocephalus glaber (naked mole-rat), 2050 nucleotides long. RefSeq lists it as uncharacterized. The record is from RefSeq and is a predicted model, not a curated record. Lineage: Eukaryota; Metazoa; Chordata; Mammalia; Rodentia; Bathyergidae.